Molecule: long non-coding RNA, 2075 nt
Organism: Esox lucius (northern pike)
Lineage: Eukaryota; Metazoa; Chordata; Actinopteri; Esociformes; Esocidae
Source: Ensembl
CCUCCAGCCUUUUCAUCCAUUUGCUGCAAGGGUAAAUUUUCUGCUGGGGGUGUAAAGUUUAGUACUUGACAAACUGGGGGAACAAACAUAACAGCUUUAAUUUCACUGCAGAGAUUGCAUAUUCUGUAAUGAAACAAUAAUUGAACUGUGCAAAGGUAAUGAUAUGUACAACACACCGACACCUUUCAUCCAGAAAGUGCCCUAAUGAAAAACAGAUUAUGGAUAAAAGGAUUCCUCAUCUUAAAUAGAAGCAAUAGUUUCCAGGACAAAAAAAAGCGUCACAAAUAACAUCACUUACUCGUACUCAAACGCUUGGCUCUGUGAAGUGGAGUGUGUCCUGGGGAGAAACCUGGUUCUGAGAAAGAGGAAACUGUAACAUAGGCAAACAGCAUGUGCUAGCUAACACUUGCUAGCCACUCUAGCAGCAUACUUGUUCAGGCAAACAAAAUUACUUAAACAACCUAUACACAUCGUUAUUUUUGUUAAAAAAUAUCAAAAGUUCAACUUAGUCUUUCUAAGUGUAAAGCUCUGGCUACCUACUGUAGCUAGUUACAUUUCUACAUGUACUAGCAACAUUGCUUAACCUCAGUGUUUACUGUAACAUAGGCAAACAGCAUGUGCGUAAACAAGGCUACUUUAGCUUGACUAGUUAGGCAAGACCAAAGAUGACUCCAUAUUUUAAAUACAUACACAAAAAACAAUGUAAACAUAAUAUUGCGUUACACAAAAAGCAAACAUAUACUUACUUAAACGCUGGUAGUCGAUGUCGAUGAAUUUGCUAACUUACAACUGAAGGCUGUAGUAACUCACGAUUGAUCGAACUGAAGCGAAUGUACUCUAGUUUUAUUGUUACGGGAGGGGCCAGCCUCAGUGACUCCAAUGCGUCAUCAACAGUAGAGACGGAUCCAGGAGCAUAAUUGUGCCUAAAUCAAAUAAAUGUAAACAAUUUCCCCCUAAGUGCAUAAAAUAAUUCGAUAUAUUUUACAUAUAUUACUGUAUAAUCGCUUCAGAGUUUCAAAGUCAUUUAAAUGUAAUUUCCUAAACCUUACCUCUCAUGGAAUCAUGUUAUAAACCCUAUUAAUCUGUUAUAAUCUGUAAUAAACCCUAUGCUUUGGAGAAAAAAAACUAUUUGAUAUAAUUCACAUAUUAAAUAUUAGGAUUUUAUAAUCGCUUCAAAUGUGAAAAGUAGUAAAAAUGCCGUCAGUUCCACUUAACUCCCAACAUGCAAAACCAUUGGCCGGUCGAUUUUGAGAGUAGCCUUGUAUUUAAAAGUGUCUUGCCGCCGGACGACAGCGGUCCUUUAGACCGAGGCAACCGCCAAAGAAAAUGAAGCAGUCGGACCGCCGGCUGUUUCCUGGCGGCAUCUUGCAAGAAAUGGGAGUGACGUAUUCGGCGGCAAACGUUUCAUCCCCGCCAGCAGGACGCGGCGGCAAAAAGAAGCCAUGCGGAUAUUUUUUGCUAUCUGGAGGCUGUACGGAAGAACCAAGCUGCUAGCAGCGCAUCGGACAACGAGAUUAACCAGCACGCCAUCCGCUGGUUCAACCUGGCCUCUGAGCGUGGAGGUGGCCGCAAAGAACGUGCCAUGGCCAGAGAGGCCAUUCAUUAACCGUGGUAAGAGACUUGCUUGCUGGCGGGGCUGUGGUCCGCUGGCAGAACACCGGGUGCUUUCUGAUCAGGUGCCGUCGGGAUGUUGCCGAGGCGACAUACAUUUUGUUUUACGGUGGACGGACUGCAACAUUACUGAGUUGUUGUUUUCUUUUAGCUUGAAAUAAUCCCAUACUUUAGACCCUUUAUUCUUCGCCCCUCCCUAUUUUCUCUCUCUUCCUCCACUUUGCAAACAGCGCCAUCAUAAUUACGUUGUGUUCACAGCAUAAGCGCGAUGUGCGACAGUAAUAAAUGUCCAUGCAAAACAGUGUUCUAUAUAGUUAUAUGGAUUAAACGAAGCUUUGCAUGGAUGCAAUUUAGUAUUCAAUUCAAUACUAAAUUGAAUUGUUCGAGCCCUUGUUAAGUGAAUGCCAAAUUAAUCAGAGCACAUAGGUGACUAGGUGCUGACAAGCAAUGUAGCAUUUAAAAAC